GAACAGAACUCCUGGAAACACCUCCCCAUCAUGGACUGGCUUCCUUUCUGCCUUCUACCUCUCGCGUUCUCCACAGGUCUCUGCGCCCUGCCUGUGCUGACUCAGCAUCCGUUUGCCUCUGCCUCCCUGGGAGCCUCCGUCAAGCUCACCUGUUCACUGAGCAGUGAGCACAGCAAAUAUUUCAUCCUCUGGUAUCAGCAGAGGCCAGAGAGGGCCCCUCAGUAUAUAAUGAAGGUGAACAGUGAUGGCACCCACAACAAAGGGGAUGGGAUCUCUGAUCGAUUCGUGGGCUCCAGCUCUGGGGCUGACCGCUACUUAACCAUCUCUGACAUCCGCUCUGAGGAUGAGGCUGUGUAUCACUGUGGAGAGCACCAUACAAUUGAUGGUCAGUUUGGGUAUGUCUUCGGCGGCGGGACCCACCUCACCGUCCUAGGUCAACCUAAGGCCAGCCCAGCGGUCACCCUGUUCCCACCUUCCACUGAGGAGCUCGGGACAGACAAGGCCACAGUGGUGUGUCUCAUCAAUGACUUCUACCCGGGCGUUGUGACGGUGGCCUGGAAAGCAGAUGGCAAAGACGUCACCCAGGGAGUGCAGACCACGCAGGCCACCAAACAGAGCAACAACAAGUACAUGGCCAGCAGCUACCUGAGCCUGACUGCAGACCAGUGGCGUUCGCACACAAGAGUCGGCUGCCACGUCACACAUGAAGGCAGCACAGUGGAGAAGAGUCUGGCCCCUGCGGAGUGUUCCUAGCACCUGACCAUCACGCCAUCCUUGGGGGACUAAAGCACGGGGACCCCGGGGAAGAGUCCCCUUCCCGACCCCACCCACCCAUUCCUGCCUUGCUCUCUGAACCCAUAAAUGCUCAAUAAAAUAUCCCCUCUCAAU
Molecule: non-coding RNA, 888 nt
Organism: Fukomys damarensis (Damara mole-rat)
Lineage: Eukaryota; Metazoa; Chordata; Mammalia; Rodentia; Bathyergidae
Source: the annotation of a RefSeq genome assembly